Molecule: long non-coding RNA, 261 nt
Filed under: Panax ginseng (ginseng)
Lineage: Eukaryota; Viridiplantae; Streptophyta; Magnoliopsida; Apiales; Araliaceae
Description: long non-coding RNA (PGIN_LNC013834)
Source: RNAcentral
GGGCUUUCAUUUGAGCUCUUCGACAGUAUAUUUGAAUGGUUUUAUGAAUUUAAUUAGCAUUCUAUUUAAAUAGGAAGUAUGUAAACUUCUAUGCUUUCAAAGAAUGGCAUAAUAAGGUGUGUAAUUGGAGCUAAUUAUCGAGCAAGGGGGGAGGCAAGCUGCUACACAUUUGCAGCAACAAUUGUUAGCUAGCUGUUAAAUAUUAUUAUGCAUGAGAAUCACCUUUUAUAGAAAAAGGGUGGUCUUGUUGGCUAAUGCAGA